AGCUUCUGUCCCUGUGGAAUUGGGUAUGCCACCCUCCUGGCAGGUGGAUGUGUAUACCAACCCAGAAGUGCCCCAAACCCAGUACUUUGGGGAUUUUUAUAGAGAUUUCAUCAUAUAAUCAUAAUCUGUUAUUAACUCAAUCUUCAGCUCCUCCCCUCUCCUUGGAGGUUUAAUAUUUGUAACCUUCCUUUUUUUGUCUAUUUUUUUUUUUUUUUUUUAGGGCGGGACCCAUGGCAUAUAGAGAUUCCCAGGCUAAGGGUCAAAUAGGAGCUGUAGCUGUCAGCCUGCGCCACAGCAACGCAGGAUCCGAGCUGCGUCUGUGACCCACACCACAGCUCAUGGCAACACCGGAUCCUUAAGCCACUGAGCGAGGCCAGGGAUAGGACCUGCAUCCUCAUGGAUGCUAGUCAGAUUUGUUUCCACUGAGCCACGAUGGGAACUCUGACAUUUUUAAGCUUUUAAUUAUGGUUUUCUGGUCUUUCUUAUGAGCCACCCCCAUCCUGAAGCCCACCUAGAGUUGCUUUAUUAGAACAAAGAAUACACCUAUCACCCAGGAAAUUCCAAGAGGUUUAAGAGAUCUGUGUCAGGAACUGGGGUCAAAGACCAGACAUGAGAACAAAAGAUACUCCUAGAACCCCUAUUGCUCAGCAAAUUAUAGGGGUUUUUAGAGCUCUGGGCCAGGAACCAGGGCAGAGAUUAAUGUAUAUUUCUUAUUAUGUCUCAAUUGAUGUAGUUAAGUUCUCAAACUCUAAUUGCAUUUAGAUGAUAUGUUUUCCUGAUUUUAGUUAUUUAUUGCAGAUAUAUUUGAGUUAACUCAUAAUAUAAUUCAAGUUAAUGAAUGACAGAUGUUAAAUAUCAAAAAUCUUAGGCCUUUUUACAGUAUCCUAUUUAAAUUAAAUGUGUAUUUAAAAUUCAUUUUUUUCUUUUAUUCUUAAUUUUUUUAUUUUUACAGCCACAUCUGUGGCAUAUGGAAAUUCUCAGCCACAUCAAUGCCGGAUCCAAGCCACAUCUGCAAUCUGCACAGCAGCUUGUGGCAACACUUGAUCUUUAGCUCACUGAGUGAGGCCGGGAACCACACUCACAUCCUCAUGGAUCCUAUGUCAGGUUCUUAACCUGUUGAGCCACAAUGGGAGCUCCUAAACAUCUUGUCUUUUUUUUUUUUUUUUAACGUAUUGACCUUUGAGUAUAUGUUGACUGAGAGAGAACAAGUCACAACUCCCAUUCACUGCAGCAGGCAAUGUAGUAGUUAGGCUCAAAACAUUGUCUUUGGCAUCAUCCAGGCCUAGGUUGAAGUCCUGAUUCUGCUAGUAGCCAUCUGUGUGAUCUCAAACAAGGACAUUUAAAAAACGACAAGAUAGAACUUUACCAGGCAGGUGAACUAACAGAAACAAUUAUUUAUCAUUGCUUUUACCCCAUAACAAUGUAAAUGAAAAUAGUAUCCUGUUAAAGAGGGUGCUUUUAAAGAUGGCAUGUUCCUUUAGCUUCUUCAAGAUUUAAAGUUAGUUGUCGUGCAAACACACCUAAAGGAUACUGGAAGUCAGGCAGAUAUGUAUGUGAGGAAUUCACCUGUUGUUGAAUAUUUGCUCUGAUUUUGUUGUUUAUAGUCAACUGAAGGGCUGACAGUUUGGGCAGGCAAUCUUGGAGAUUUGAAUUUUUUCAAAGUUGGUUUUAUUUUUCCCCCCAGAGCUACGAAAAAACCUUUUCAUCCUGUCACACUUCAAGGAUUUAAUUUAACAUCACUUCUACCUGGAUGACACCUUCUCUGACACCCAAGUCUAGGUUCAUAUUCCUCUUAUCUCUGUCCAUUAAUUUAACUAUAUGGUAUUAUAAUGGUAUGGUUCUAACCCGUCUUCCACUAUCCAGAGCAAGGCUGGGUCUGAAUCAUUCACUGCUGUUUUCUAGUGUCUGGCUUAGAGGCUGACACUUAAAAAGAAGCCUACGAAAAAACCUUUUCGAAUGAAUAAAUGAUACAUAGCUUUGUUUUCUCUAUUUGAACAAAAAUAUUUUUGAAAUGGCUCCUGGGAGAACAGUAACAAUAUCCAAUUAUAAAAAUAAUUUAUAAAGCAUUUCACUUAAUAAGUAAUUUAUUGGUCAAAAAAUAAUUAUUUGAUCAGUGUUUUAUUAUACAUUUUAUAAGAUAUGUCCUCUCAUAUAGUAUCUCGAAUACCCAAAACAAUAGCAUGCAUAGUACUGGUUAUUUUAAUUCACGAUUUUACAGCUAGGCAAGAUGUCAGGCUAAUGCUUAGGAGAAUGAGUUUGCUGUUCUCUUGACCAACAGUUAUAAAGUAAACUCUAAUAUAAAGCAGCUGCAAAGAGAAUAUUAAGGAUCUCAUACGCAACUCAUAGAACUCAUCAAAGGACAGACUAGAAGGUCAAAGAAAAACAGCAAGAAUCCUUCUGGAUUAUCUUAUAAGUGACAGCAUGGUGUUUGGUGCUGGGAAUACGAUGGUAAAUAAGACAUGGUCUGUUCCUGCAGAGAGCAGUCUCCAGAAGGCAACAGAAAUAUGACCAAAAAGGCAUGCUGUGUCAUAGGUGAGAAACAGAGUUGAGUUGGAAGCUUAGAUAGCCAGUCGUCCCCCAUCCCAUAGACUAUGGAGAAGGGCAAACUCCGAGGCAGAAAUGCAGGUGUCUCUAACCACAGCUUACUCUGAGGAAAUCCAGAUUUUUAGCAGGCCUGAGGGAUGGAAUGGACAGGCCAUUGCAGGGAGUGCACCUGCAGGGGGACGUAGGACUAGACCAUGGUGUACCAGGGUAAGGGACCAGAGAAGAGCACAUUCAAAUUUGGGGAAGGUCAUCAUUUCUGCUUGGGAAUUAUUAAGGAUUCAGUGCCCUGGGACCAUGAAUGUGCCCUUGGGUGUUUAAGUCUGAGGUUCCCGAGAGGGUUGAACUUCACUGCAAUGUUCUACUAGAAAGAAUGAAGGCUUUCCAGACUGAAGGAUCUAGGACAGGGAAGGGGGUGUCUGAGGAACCACAAGUAUGGGUGAUGAUGAGGGUCACAUCUGGAAAAGGUAGUGAGCUCCUUCUUGAAGUAUCUUAGGUACUGGGCUUAAGAGCCUAAACUUAAUAGUUAACAGCCUAACCUGACAACCUUGAAUAAACAGGGUUAUCAGUAAACUUAAAAAUAUCUUCGCUUAUCUUGUAGAAUAGUAUGUGAGUGAGUGAGUGUGUGUGUGUGUGUGUGAGAGAGAGAGAGAGAGAGAGAGAGAGAGAGAGAGAGAGAGAGAAAGAGAGAGAAACAGAGGCAGGUUUUGAUUUGCAUUUCACUAAUAAUUAGUGAUGUUGAGCAUUUUUUCAUCUGCCUACUGGCCAUCCAUAUAACACAGAGAACAAACUGUGGUUGCCAAGAGGGGUGGGGGGGGGGGGAGUAGGAUGGACUGGGAGUUUCGGGUUAGUAGAUGCAAACAAUUAUAUUUAGAAAUGGAUAAGCAAUGAGGUCCUGCUCUACAGCACAGGGAAGUAUAUUUAAUCUCUUGGGAUAGACUGUAAUAGAAGAUAAAUGAGAAGAUAAUAUAUAUGUAUGGAUGACUAGAUCACUAUGCUGCAUAGUACAGCAGAAAUUGACUCAACCCUGUAAAUCAACUAUACUCUAAUAAAAAUAAUUUUUUUUAAAAAAAGCCAAUGUUUACUGACACCUACCCGAGAGCAAGGAACUCUAUCAAACCUAGAAGGAACUCAUGUAUUCCUCACUAAGAACCUGCCAUAGGGUAAAAGUCAAAUAAAAGGCAAAAGAUUUUUUAAAAUAAUACAAGUAAAUUUUUUCUCAACAUCCUAUCAAUUAGGAGCACCAUUCCUUAAUGUUUUCAAAAUGGAAUGCCCUCUGUGUCCUUAAAUUUGAGCAUAUUUGAUCCUAAGUGACUAGGUUCUAUUUGUAUUUCUGUUAAUUAAUCAUUAUGAGGCAUCUAUAAAUCAAACAUAACUACUUUCAUCUAGCCUUUAGUGUGUCUCUAGGGUGCUCACAUUUCAAUUUGAGACUUAGUUUGCAUUUUUAGGAAACCACUUCGGGGAUUUUGGUAAAAAUCAAAGUGUGGGUUUCCUAAGCAAAGGUACCAUGCGCACUUGGUCCUCCCAUGCUUUUCAGUGAGCCCUCUAACCAAGGCUGUUUCCCCACUGGGCCACAGGCUGGCCCAGAAUCUAAAUGACCUGUGUACCACGUGGAUGAUGGACUGACUACUGCUGUCACACUGUCAUGUUUUUUAUUAAAGUCAUAUUUUAUAAAACGUGUGAAUGUAGGAUUACAGAGAAAGAAAACCGUCCAGCUCCCUGGCAUUUUGUGGUGUGUUGCAUAGUGCCACAAGGAAAUUAAUUGCCCUUUCUAAAACGGUGAGACACCCCAUUAAGCAAAGCUCGAGAAUGUGCAGUCUCUGCCCAAGGCCCCCAGCCAUGCACUCCACAUCUGGUUCAUUUUAAAGUGGUCUGUGCGUGUUAGUGUGGGAUGAGUGAACAGAGACCAUGCCUUGCUGAAAUAUUAGAGCACCAAGGUGCCUCUAGGUUGACUGGUUAUCAACAGGUCUUUAGUACAAGAAGGGCAACCAGGAAAUUGAGUUAAUAUUUAUUACUCGAUCCCAUAACUCGCAUGACCUUUAGCCCAAAUAUGGACUCCAACUGCAAAGCUAAACCCCUAGAGGAUUGAAAUUCAGCAUUGACUUAGUAUUACUGUGGUUAUGACUAGUGUAUUUAUACAUGGAAUAUAUAUAUGGCCUAAUAUAUGUCAGAGCUAAAAUUCAAGUGGCAAUUGGCCUACCCAGUAGGAAAGAAUAACUUGCAAAUUCACACGUGGUUUUGAUUAAAACUUCUAUUUUAAAAGAUAAUUGUUUCCUUAAAUGAUAGUCACAAUGACGAAGUACUUACUAGUAGUUAUAACUUUUUGGGGUAAAUAUGUUGAAUGUCAAUAAGUAUGUUUGAAAAUGUUAAAUCUUGAAUGUUAAACAAUCAAGAGUUUGAGUGCUAGGUCUACUAAUCAGUGUAAGAAUUUAUUUAUAAUAAAUGUGGACAAUAGACAUUAGUAAAAUCAAACAUAAAUGUUUUAUAAUUUUUAAGUCAAAUAUUAGCUUUAAAAAUUUAUGUAAUAAUAAUUUAUUUAGACAGGUUCCAUAUAACUGGAAAAUAUGUUACAUUUCUAAUACCUAUGAUGCAAAUCUAGGGAAAACAUUUCAUAAAUCAUAUAAAUUGAUACAACUUUUAUUUUAUGCCAAGACAGUCUGACAAUAUGAACUCUGAAUACAUCUUAGCAAUUCUAUUUCCAAAAGUUUAACUUAAAAAAAUAAGGAAGCGUGGGAGAAAACUUUCAGAUACAUGAGAAUUAAUAGCCUAAUCUAUUGCAGUAAAAACUUGAACACAAUAUAAGUGUACACCAAUCUGAAUUUACUAAAUAAAAUAUAUAUAUUCCUUAUAUUUUUCUCGCUGUAUAGUGUAUAGAUAUACUAUAUAUGUUUAUGUAUACACAUAUACACAUCAGUGGCCUUUUUCUAGCUGUGGUUUAUAAUUUAAAAAAAUAAUUUGGGGUAGUUCCCACUGUGGCUCAGCAGAUUUUGAACCCAGCUGGUAUCCAUGAGGAUGCAUGUUUGAUCCAUAGCCUUGGUCAGUGGGUUAGGGAUCUGGCAUUGACAUGGACUGUGGUGAAGAUCACAGACAUGGCUUGGAUACCACGUUGCUGUGGUUGUGGUGUAGGCAGGUAGCUGCAGUUCUAAUUUGCCCCCUAGCCUGGGAACUCCCAUAUGCCUCAGGUGUGGCC
RNAcentral lists this long non-coding RNA (5731 nucleotides) under Sus scrofa (pig). Its description in RNAcentral is "lncRNA (ENSSSCG00000057643.1)". Lineage: Eukaryota; Metazoa; Chordata; Mammalia; Artiodactyla; Suidae. The record is from RNAcentral.